GCGGGAAUAGCUCAGUUGGUAGAGCACAACCUUGCCAAGGUUGGGUCGCCAGAGUGGGAGAUGCGAGUCUCGUUUCCCGCCCA
This 83-nucleotide transfer RNA is filed under the name Simiduia agarivorans. Its description in RNAcentral is "tRNA-Gly". It matches the Rfam family "tRNA". Rfam says of the family: Transfer RNA (tRNA) molecules are approximately 80 nucleotides in length. The record is from RNAcentral. Lineage: Bacteria; Pseudomonadati; Pseudomonadota; Gammaproteobacteria; Cellvibrionales; Cellvibrionaceae. RNAcentral also lists the same sequence under 1 other name.